UACGUAGGGAGCAAGCGUUGUUCGGAUUUACUGGGCGUAAAGGGCGCGUAGGCGGCAAAUUAAGUCAGCUGUGAAAUCUCCGGGCUUAACCCGGAACGGUCAGGUGAUACUGUUUUGCUAGAGUGCGGAAGGGGCAAUCGGAAUUCUCGGUGUAGCGGUGAAAUGCGUAGAUAUCGAGAGGAACACCAGAGGUGAAGACGGGUUGCUGGGCCGACACUGACGCUGACAGCGCGAAAGCCAGGGGAGCAAACGGG
This 254-nucleotide ribosomal RNA is filed under the name uncultured bacterium. RNAcentral describes it as "partial 16S ribosomal RNA". It matches the Rfam family "Bacterial small subunit ribosomal RNA", at positions 524 to 776 of the family's 1533-position model. The record is from RNAcentral.